GGCACCCCCAGUCUUUCUAUCCUCCUCAUUCGUCUAGGGGCACCCGAAUCCCCUAUGCCUUAUUUCCCCUAUCACUCAGGCACUGGCAGGGUCCUUUGCCCACUCCUGUUGGCCGCCGCGGCUCCAAAGCGAGCUGGGCAGAUGUGCCUGAGACAGGUUUGACCCGCCAACUGAAAAGACAUCCCUAAGAGAAGACAAAGCAAAGGUAUGAAAGGAACACACGUCCCUGACUUACUAGGAGGAACAGAGCUGCCUGCUGUCUGGAACCGCUUCCUCCCAGACUAAGGUUUCCUAGAGGAAGAGAGAAUUUGGACAAACGAAUGAGGGACAACGCUCACCUGAGGGUUUUCUUUAAGGGGCGAGGAUCACUGCCCCUAGCUCCUUUGAAAGCAGAAUUAAGAGGCAGUGCAGGAAGACACAGCAGGAAGGCUCAUGGUUAGACCACAGAGAAGGAAGCAGCCACUGCUGGGGACCUGCCCUGUGCUGGUCACUGACAAGCUGUCUCAUUAAACCUUCCCGGACCCUCAACCCCUCCUAGUAUCUUAUCCUCAUUUUACAGAUGAGAGGACUGCAGCCCAGAGAGGUCCAAUGCCAGUGGGAUCAGCUUCAAUGGGACGCGCACAGACUGACCUCUUCUCCCCAGCCCCCUCAACUUCCCAGAGCUGCAGGGGGCCCGGGAGUUCUUGGUAACAGCACAUUAAACCUCUGUUUGUGGGAA
This 718-nucleotide long non-coding RNA is filed under the name Pongo abelii (Sumatran orangutan). RNAcentral's name for it is "lincRNA". The record is from RNAcentral. Lineage: Eukaryota; Metazoa; Chordata; Mammalia; Primates; Hominidae.